Molecule: ribosomal RNA, 253 nt
Filed under: uncultured bacterium
Lineage: Bacteria
Description: partial 16S ribosomal RNA
Rfam family: Bacterial small subunit ribosomal RNA
Source: RNAcentral
UACGGAGGAUCCAAGCGUUAUCCGGAAUCAUUGGGUUUAAAGGGUCCGUAGGCGGUUUUGUAAGUCAGUGGUGAAAGCCCAUCGCUCAACGGUGGAACGGCCAUUGAUACUGCAAGACUUGAAUUAUUAGGAAGUAACUAGAAUAUGUAGUGUAGCGGUGAAAUGCUUAGAUAUUACAUGGAAUACCAAUUGCGAAGGCAGGUUACUACUAAUUGAUUGACGCUGAUGGACGAAAGCGUGGGGAGCGAACAGG